This 1522-nucleotide ribosomal RNA is filed under the name metagenome. RNAcentral describes it as "bacterial SSU rRNA". It matches the Rfam family "Bacterial small subunit ribosomal RNA". The record is from RNAcentral.
AGAGUUUGAUCAUGGCUCAGAUUGAACGCUGGCGGCAGGCCUAACACAUGCAAGUCGAACGGUAACAGGAAACAGCUUGCUGUUUCGCUGACGAGUGGCGGACGGGUGAGUAAUGUCUGGGAAACUGCCUGAUGGAGGGGGAUAACUACUGGAAACGGUAGCUAAUACCGCAUAACGUCGCAAGACCAAAGAGGGGGACCUUCGGGCCUCUUGCCAUCAGAUGUGCCCAGAUGGGAUUAGCUAGUAGGUGGGGUAACGGCUCACCUAGGCGACGAUCCCUAGCUGGUCUGAGAGGAUGACCAGCCACACUGGAACUGAGACACGGUCCAGACUCCUACGGGAGGCAGCAGUGGGGAAUAUUGCACAAUGGGCGCAAGCCUGAUGCAGCCAUGCCGCGUGUAUGAAGAAGGCCUUCGGGUUGUAAAGUACUUUCAGCGGGGAGGAAGGGAGUAAAGUUAAUACCUUUGCUCAUUGACGUUACCCGCAGAAGAAGCACCGGCUAACUCCGUGCCAGCAGCCGCGGUAAUACGGAGGGUGCAAGCGUUAAUCUGAAUUACUGGGCGUAAAGCGCACGCAGGCGGUUUGUUAAGUCAGAUGUGAAAUCCCCGGGCUCAACCUGGGAACUGCAUCUGAUACUGGCAAGCUUGAGUCUCGUAGAGGGGGGUAGAAUUCCAGGUGUAGCGGUGAAAUGCGUAGAGAUCUGGAGGAAUACCGGUGGCGAAGGCGGCCCCCUGGACGAAGACUGACGCUCAGGUGCGAAAGCGUGGGGAGCAAACAGGAUUAGAUACCCUGGUAGUCCACGCCGUAAACGAUGUCGACUUGGAGGUUGUGCCCUUGAGGCGUGGCUUCCGGAGCUAACGCGUUAAGUCGACCGCCUGGGGAGUACGGCCGCAAGGUUAAAACUCAAAUGAAUUGACGGGGGCCCGCACAAGCGGUGGAGCAUGUGGUUUAAUUCGAUGCAACGCGAAGAACCUUACCUGGUCUUGACAUCCACGGAAGUUUUCAGAGAUGAGAAUGUGCCUUCGGGAACCGUGAGACAGGUGCUGCAUGGCUGUCGUCAGCUCGUGUUGUGAAAUGUUGGGUUAAGUCCCGCAACGAGCGCAACCCUUAUCCUUUGUUGCCAGCGGUCCGGCCGGGAACUCAAAGGAGACUGCCAGUGAUAAACUGGAGGAAGGUGGGGAUGACGUCAAGUCAUCAUGGCCCUUACGACCAGGGCUACACACGUGCUACAAUGGCGCAUACAAAGAGAAGCGACCUCGCGAGAGCAAGCGGACCUCAUAAAGUGCGUCGUAGUCCGGAUUGGAGUCUGCAACUCGACUCCAUGAAGUCGGAAUCGCUAGUAAUCGUGGAUCAGAAUGCCACGGUGAAUACGUUCCCGGGCCUUGUACACACCGCCCGUCACACCAUGGGAGUGGGUUGCAAAAGAAGUAGGUAGCUUAACCUUCGGGAGGGCGCUUACCACUUUGUGAUUCAUGACUGGGGUGAAGUCGUAACAAGGUAACCGUAGGGGAACCUGCGGUUG